Molecule: long non-coding RNA, 322 nt
Organism: Aquila chrysaetos chrysaetos
Lineage: Eukaryota; Metazoa; Chordata; Aves; Accipitriformes; Accipitridae
Exons: 2
Source: RefSeq, a predicted model, not a curated record
CCAAUCUUGCAACUUUGGCGCUAACAAAAGGACUCGAACUCGCCCAAAGUCAAAGGCUCGUCUAAAUGGCUGGGAGUAUGGUCUUCAUCCUUCCAGUCCCCCUUCUCGAUGGAAACGAGAUACUCGCAAGAUCGCGGUGCAGCUAAAGACGACGUGCACCGCCUGAAAUAUUUCUUGCAAAACAGCCUGAAGUGAUGUUGCCAGUGCUACAUAAUCCGAUGAUCGUAAUGAAACAAACCAAACCAAAACCCCACCAGAAAUAUUUCAGACGCUCCGACUCACAUUGGCUAGCUGUGAUCUGGAAAGAGGGGAGGCAGGAAAG